Molecule: ribosomal RNA, 300 nt
Filed under: uncultured bacterium
Lineage: Bacteria
Description: bacterial SSU rRNA
Rfam family: Bacterial small subunit ribosomal RNA
Source: RNAcentral
AUUGAACGCUGGCGGCAUGCCUUACACAUGCAAGUCGAACGGCAGCACGGGAGCAAUCCUGGUGGCGAGUGGCGAACGGGUGAGUAAUAUAUCGGAACGUGCCCAGUCGUGGGGAUAACGUAGCGAAAGCUACGCUAAUACCGCAUACGAUCUAUGGAUGAAAGCGGGGGAUCGCAAGACCUCGCGCGAUUGGAGCGGCCGGAUAUCAGAUUAGGUUGUUGGUGAGGUAAAAGCUCACCAAGCCGACGAUCUGUAGUCUGGUUUGAGAGAACGACCAGCCACACUGGGACUGAGACACGG